This 427-nucleotide ribosomal RNA is filed under the name uncultured bacterium. RNAcentral's name for it is "bacterial SSU rRNA". It matches the Rfam family "Bacterial small subunit ribosomal RNA", at positions 355 to 774 of the family's 1533-position model. The record is from RNAcentral.
UGGGGAAUUUUGGACAAUGGGCGCAAGCCUGAUCCAGCAAUGCCGCGUGCAGGAUGAAGGCCUUCGGGUUGUAAACUGCUUUUGUACGGAGCGAAAAGGUCUGCCCUAAUACGGUGGGCUCAUGACGGUACCGUAAGAAUAAGCACCGGCUAACUACGUGCCAGCAGCCGCGGUAAUACGUAGGGUGCGAGCGUUAACCGGAAUUACUGGGCGUAAAGCGUGCGCAGGCGGUUAUAUAAGACAGGUGUGAAAUCCCCGGGCUCAACCUGGGACCUGCAUUUGUGACUGUAUAGCUAGAGUACGGUAGAGGGGGAUGGAAUUCCGCGUGUAGCAGUGAAAUGCGUAGAUAUGCGGAGGAACACCGAUGGCGAAGGCAAUCCCCUGGACCUGUACUGACGCUCAUGCACGAAAGCGUGGGGAGCAAACA